UACGUAGGGGGCAAGCGUUGUCCGGAUUUAUUGGGCGUAAAGAGCGUGUAGGCGGCCAAGCAGGUCAGCUGUGAAAACUCGAGGCUCAACCUCGAGACGUCGGUUGAAACCGCUUGGCUAGAGUCCGGAAGAGGAGAGUGGAAUUCCCGGUGUAGCGGUGAAAUGCGUAGAGAUCGGGAGGAAUACCAGAGGCGAAGGCGGCGACCUGGACAGAUACUGACACUCAACUGCGAAAGCGUGGGGAGCAAACAGG
RNAcentral lists this ribosomal RNA (253 nucleotides) under uncultured bacterium. Its description in RNAcentral is "partial 16S ribosomal RNA". It matches the Rfam family "Bacterial small subunit ribosomal RNA", at positions 524 to 776 of the family's 1533-position model. The record is from RNAcentral.